This is a small nuclear RNA of Terrapene triunguis (Three-toed box turtle), 192 nucleotides long. Its record names the gene U2. It matches the Rfam family "U2 spliceosomal RNA". From Rfam's summary of the family: U2 is a small nuclear RNA (snRNA) component of the spliceosome (involved in pre-mRNA splicing). Lineage: Eukaryota; Metazoa; Chordata; Testudines; Emydidae. The record is from Ensembl.
AUUUCAUUUUAAACAUUAACUUUAAUAAAAAAAAUUAAAUCUGUUCUUAUCAGUUUAAUAUCUGAUAUGUCCUCUAUCUGAGGACUAUAUAUUAAAUGGAUUUUUGGAACAGGGAGAUGGAAUAGGAGCUUUCUCCAUCCACUCCAUGCAUCAAGCUGGUAUUGCAGUACCUCCGGGAAUGGUGCACCUCCC